Molecule: ribosomal RNA, 443 nt
Filed under: uncultured bacterium
Lineage: Bacteria
Description: partial 16S ribosomal RNA
Rfam family: Bacterial small subunit ribosomal RNA
Source: RNAcentral
CCUACGGGGGGCAGCAGUGGGGAAUAUUGGGCAAUGGAGGCAACUCUGACCCAGCAACGCCGCGUGAAUGAUGAAGGUCUUCGGAGUGUAAAGUUCUUUUCGAAGGGAAGAAGAAAGUGACGGUACCGGAGGAAUAAGACUCGGCUAACUACGGGCCAGCAGCCGCGGUAAUACGUAGGAGGCAAGCGUUAUCCGGAAUGACUGGGCGUAAAGGGGGCGUAGGGGGUUUGACGAGUUAGUAGCGCAACUCCGGAGCUCAACUUCGGAACUUCUACUAAAACUGUUGGACUUGCGUGCAGGAGGGGCAAUCGUCCUUCCUCGUGUAGCGGUGGAAUGCGUAGCUAUUAGGAGGACCCCCAGUGGCGACGGCGGAUUGCUAGACUGUAACUGACACUGAGGCACGAACGCGUGGGGAGCAAACAGGAUUAGAUACCCGAGUAGUC